AGACAGAGAAUAGAGGUAGACAUGCUCUUUGAAUAAUAAUAAUUGCAAGGGUGAGAUGACAGAUUAGCAAAAUGUGUAUGUGUGAGCAGGACAUAGCAUAAAUUUUUUGUCUCUAUUUGCGUAUCGGUUUUUGUUGUUUGGCAUCACUGGUCAUUGAUGGCAAACAAACUGUGGUGUCAAGAUAUUUUCGUUGUUAAAAACUGUGAAACGCAUACUUUGUGUAAUCUAAUUUGUGACUUUAUUGAUAUUUUAGAAGGUAAUAUUUAGUGUCUAGUGAUGGUGAAUUGCUGUAUAAAUGGCUGUAAAAGUCGUAGUGAACGAAAUCAACCAAACAUAACCUUUCAUCGAUUUCCGAAUGAACCAAUUUUAAGAAAAAAGUGGACUGAGUGCACGGGGCGAAUUAACUGGCAUCCAAGUCGUCACUCCCGAAUCUGCUCCCGACAUUUUGAAGCUAGUUGCAUUCGACAGAAAUUAAAUAGUACUCACUUAAAUCCACAUUCGAUACCGACUCUUUUCAUUCAGGUCCAACCGGCUUUAGAUCAACCGAGUACCUCUAAAUGUGAUACUUUGGGGGUUGAUGUGCAAGCAAAGGAUUAUUUG
Long non-coding RNA from Spodoptera litura, 600 nucleotides. RefSeq lists it as uncharacterized. Lineage: Eukaryota; Metazoa; Arthropoda; Insecta; Lepidoptera; Noctuidae. The record is from RefSeq and is a predicted model, not a curated record.